Long non-coding RNA from Numida meleagris (helmeted guineafowl), 1316 nucleotides. NCBI's taxonomy places the organism in Eukaryota, Metazoa, Chordata, Aves, Galliformes, Numididae. The record is from Ensembl.
GUUCUCUCCAUCCGUACACCUGUCAGCACGACCCUACCAGGUUCUUAAUGCCUUUUUUGUGUUCCCUUACAGAAGGUUAACAGAGAAGUGCAGGUUCAGGGCCUCACUCUAUACAAGAAAAUGACUGCUUAAUUAUGUCCAAAUUCUUGCUUCUUUUUUUCCCCUUUUUCUCCCCAUUUGGCACACUGAUGACAAGAAGCAUAACCUUUCUUGCAGGUAUUUUCUCUGGAGCAAUGGGAGAAGCUGGGAUUUUCUUUGGCUCAGCCCCAGCUGGCAUUCACUGCUGUUUAUCAGACCUCCACGCUGGACAGGUGUACCCAUUGCAGAGCAAACACACAGUGUGGCAGCACACGGGAGCACUCUGAGGCAGGGCUUCAGGACAGAAGUGCCGCAAAUGUGGAGCUGCGUGGCAAAGCCCUGCGGGUCCCCACCCUGCACUGCUGCAGGUCCACGUCCCACUGCAGGCACAUCACCUCACCUCUUUGGUCUUGUCCAGGUUGUAAGCACAGUCUCAAAGCAUUUGCCAGUGCUCCAGACUUCAGACUUUGCUUCACAAAUGCAACUUGUUGAGCCAUCCUCCAAGGUUUGGGCAAAGCACCAGUAGAAAACAACCUGUGCUCUCAGCCUCACAGUGUGUGGAUAUCUCUUGUACCUUCCUACCUCUGAAGUCCCAGCUGAGCACAAAAAGUAGUGGAGAAGCCUUCUUCAGAGAAGAGCAAACCCAACCCCGGAGUGCAUCUCUCACCUGUACAUCUCUCCUUUGAGUGAUGGAUUUCCAGCCAGGGGUGUAAGAUUCAAUCAUGCUUAUCGCUGUGUUCAGCCCUGCAUAAUGAGAUAAUCCUAACAAUGUCCAAUUCACUUUAAAAUCAAGCCAAGGUACCUUCUUCCAUAACCUUCUGCAGCAGCAGCUCUCACAGGUGAUGAAAGAUGUCUGGGUAUUUAUUUUCAUCCUAAAUUUGCCAUUUUUAAUUUAACUGGAUGCUUGUUCUCAUGUGAUGUGAUAAAGUGAAGGUCUGAUGCUGUGUUCUUGAGAAUUUUGACUUCCACAAUCAGCUCCACUUUAAUCUUCUUCUCAGCAAAAUAAUUCCAGACUGUGCCAUCUCUCAUAUGUUAAUCCUAUCAGCUCUGUAAUUAUUUUCAUUAUAAUUUCUCGAGCAUUUUUGGACUCUGCUACUUCUUCUGAGAGAAGAGGGUAAAAAUAUGAACGCAGAAUUAAUGGGGAUCUGUGGCAUAAUCCUGUGUUAUCCUGAUGGUUUUGGCAUUCUGUUCUAUUUUUAUUUAAUAAAUGUAAACAAUCCUUUUAUAUUUUAAGCUGC